This 692-nucleotide ribosomal RNA is filed under the name uncultured Curvibacter sp. Its description in RNAcentral is "bacterial SSU rRNA". It matches the Rfam family "Bacterial small subunit ribosomal RNA", at positions 94 to 766 of the family's 1533-position model. Lineage: Bacteria; Pseudomonadati; Pseudomonadota; Betaproteobacteria; Burkholderiales; Comamonadaceae. The record is from RNAcentral.
AGUGGCGAACGGGUGAGUAAAGUAUCGGAACGUGCCCAGUCGGGGGGGAUAACGUAGCGAAAGUUACGCUAAUACCGCAUACGAUCUAUGGAUGAAAGCGGGGGAUCGCAAGACCUCGCGCGAUUGGAGCGGCCGAUAUCAAAUUAGGUAGUUGGUGGGGUAAAGGCUCACCAAGCCGACGAUCUGUAGCUGGUCUGAGAGGACGACCAGCCACACUGGGACUGAGACACGGCCCACACUCCUACGGGAGGCAGCAGUGGGGAUUUUUUGGACAAUGGGCGCAAGUCUGAUCCAGCCAUGCCGCGUGCAGGAUGAAGGCCUUCGGGUUGUAAACUGCUUUUGUACGGAACGAAAAGGUUUGGCCUAAUAAGCUGAGCUCAUGACGGUACCGUAAGAAUAAGCACCGGCUAACUACGUGCCAGCAGCCGCGGUAAUACGUAGGGUGCGAGCGUUAAUCGGAAUUACUGGGCGUAAAGCGUGCGCAGGCGGUUAUGUAAGACAGAUGUGAAAUCCCCGGGCUCAACCUGGGAACUGCAUUAGUGACUGCAUAGCUGGAGUACGGCAGAAAGGGGGAUUGAAUUUUCGGGGUGGUAGCAGUGAAAUGCGUAAGAUUAUGGCGGAAGGAAUCACCGGAUGGGCGAAGGCAAUUCCCCUUGGGUCUGGUACUGACGCUCAUGCACGAAAGUCGUGGG